This 6681-nucleotide long non-coding RNA is filed under the name Homo sapiens (human). Its description in RNAcentral is "HSALNT0273682". The record is from RNAcentral. Lineage: Eukaryota; Metazoa; Chordata; Mammalia; Primates; Hominidae.
CUCAGCUGUGACACAGAGCUCCCACCUGGACUCUUCAUCAUCCCUGUAGGACUUAGGGGACAAAGGAUGCUGACAAAAACAUGAAGCACACACUUCUUGCUGUCCUGUAAGAAAAUUCUCUGUCUCUAACCCAGAAAUGGGUGAAAUCUGUCAGUCAGUUUGCAAGUAAGGCACAACCCCAGACCCUUCAGUUCUAUGACUUUCGGAGCACAGAGUGGGCUUAUAAUUAGAUACAAAGAAAGCUCACAAUGUUUUUAAGGGUAUUGUAUUUCAGGCUUUCUUCUUUCUAUGGAUAAGAAAGCUCCUCAGGUGGCAACAAAGGCCAUUUCUUUGGAAGCAGGCAUGGCAUGUGACGAAAAAAAGACAUCUCAGAAAAGAGCCAAGAAUAAGACUGGAGAGCCACUGUCAGAGAACAGAAACUGGGCUUAAUCAAGGAACAUCUCUUGUUCCCAGAGUAGGAGGCUGGCAAUAUUUUCUCACUGAAAUUUCAGAAUUGUUAUGGACCAGUGACUGCUCUAUGUGUUCAAUUUGUUCCCUUUUCAAAUGGAAGCAUUUAUUGCAGACGACCUGCCUCUGUCCCACCAUUGUGUAUUAGGUUUGUAGAGUGUAGACAACUUGCCUUUUUAGUUUGUAGGUUUCUGUAUCAAGAGAAGAUGUGUGUGGGCCUAACCUAGAUUACAGGAUCCUGGACUUCAAGUCUGAUAUAAUGACUGGAUGAGACUUUGACUGUCCUAGAAUUGGGAUGAACAUAUUUUGCCGGUGGGAGGGCGUGAGUAAUUGCGGUUAGAGGGCAGACUGUCCCUCACACCUAUUCCUUUUCAUGGUGCCUUCCCAAACUGCCUCUGGAGGUGGCCACACAAAUGGCUUUGGCCAUUGUGACCAUGGGAAACUUGAUGCAGAGGCUGGAAAAAGCACUUGCAUGUUUCUGUCUCCUCUCUUGUUCCUCUACAAUCACAAGAAAUGUCUAGGCAGGUCUGAGCAGGCCCAGGCUCAUCUGCCAUGGAAGAAGAAUGGCACAUGGAAGAGGGUCACAUUGUCCCAACCAAGACGAUCCUAGACCAGCCAGGCCCCAGUUCAUGGUUCAAGACACAUGAACAUAGUUGCACGAACCAAGAUUAGUUGUGUAUGGCCCAGACUAGCAGCAGCACCCAUCCAACCUACAGACUCUGAGAAAUAAAUACUAGUUGUCUUAAGCUUCCAAGUUUCAGUGUGAGCAUUAGGUAGUAACAGUUAAUGAAUAAGACAGAUAAUCAUUUUAUCUGUCUGGAUACUUAUACAAUGAUUUCUAUUUUUUAUUGAUACAUAAUAUUUUACAUAUUGCUGGGGUACAUGUGACAUUUUGCUACAUACAUAGAAUGUGUAAUGAUCCAGUCAGGAUAUCUGAGGUGUCCAUCACUUUGAGAAUUUCUCACUUCUGUGUGUUGGGAACAAUUCAAGUCGUCUCUUCUAGUUAUUUUAAAAUAUACAAUACAUUGUUAACUGUAGUCUUUUUUAUUGAAUGACAGGACUUGUACCUUUUAUCUAACUGUAUGUUUGUAUCUAUUAAGCUAGUUCUCUUUAUCCCUGCCCCCUCCUACCCACUCACUCUUCCCAACCUCUAACAUGUAUCAUCCUAUUCUAUAUCUCCAUGAGAUCAACUUCUUUAGCUCCCACAUAUGAGCAAAAACAUAUGAUGUUUGUCUUUCUGUGCCCGGUUUAUUUCACUUAUGACCUCCAUUUCCAUCCAUGUUACUAUAAAUGACAGGAUUUCAUUCUUUUUGUGGCCAAACAGUAUUUCAUUGUGUAUAUAUACUACAUUUUCUUUAUCCAUUCAUCCAUUGAUGAACACUUACGUUGAUUCCAUAUCUUUGCUAUUGUGAAUGGUGCUGCAAUAAACAUGCACGUGCAGUUAUCCCUUUGAUACACUGAUUUAUUUUCCUUUGGAUAAAUACCCAGUAGUGAGAUUGCUGGAUCAUACGGUAGUUCUACUUUUAGUUUUUGAGACAUUUCCAUACUUUUCCAGUGUUUGUAUUAAUUUACAUUCCCAUCAACAAUGUAUAAGAUUUCCCUUUCCUCCACAUCCUCACCAGCAUCUGCUAUUUUUUGUCUUUUUAAUAAUAGUCAUUCUAACUGGGGUGAGAGGAUAUCUCGCUAUGGUUUUGAUUUGCAUUUCCCUGAUAUUUAAUGAUAUUGAGCAUUUCUUCAUAUAACCUAUUGGCCAUUUGUGUGUCUUUUUUUUUUUUUUUUUUUUUUUUGAGAAUUGUCUACUCAUUUUUGGCUUUUUAAAAGAUUUAUUUUUUGUUGUUGUUGAGUUUAGUGCAUAUCCUGGAUAUUAGUCUCUUAUCUGAUGAAGAGUUUGCCAAUAUUUUCUCCCAUUCAACAGGUUGUCUCUUCAUUCUGUUGACUGUUUCCUUUGCUGUGCAGAAGCACUUUAUAUACAGUCCCAUUUGUCUAUUUUUUAGUAGUCUAUGCAUUUAAGGUCUCAGCCACAAAAUCUUUGCCUAGACCAGUCCUAAAGUGUUUCCCCUAUAUUUUCUUCUAGUAGUUUUAUUGUUUCAUGUCUUAUAUUUAAGUCUAUAAUCCAUUGUGAGUUGAUUUUUGUAUAUGGUGAGAUAGGGGCCUUGUUUCAUUCCUCUGCAUAUAGAUAUUUAAUUUUCUCAGCACCAUUUAUUGAAGGUGUCCUUCCCUAUUGUAUGUUCUUGGUGCCUUUGUCAAAAUUCAGUUGGCUAUAAAUAUGUGAAUUUAUUUCUGGGUUCUCUAUGUGGUUCCAUUAGUCUAUGUGUCUAUUUUUAUACCAAUAUCAUGCUGUUUUGAUUACCAUAGCCUUGUAAUAUAUUUUGAAGUCAGGUAGUGUGAUGCCUCCAGCUUUGUUCUUUUUGCUCAGGAUUGCUGUGCAUACUCUGGCUUUUUGGUUACAUACAAAUUUCAGGAUUUUUGUAUUUCUGUGAAAAAUGGCAUUAGUAUUUUGAUAGGAAUUGCACUGGAUCUGUAUAUUGUCCUGGACAACAUGGUCAUUUUAACAAUAUUAAUUCUUCUAAUCUAUGAGUAUGAGACGUCUUCCCACUUGUUUGUGUCCUCUUCAAUUUCUUUCAUUGGUGUUUCAUAAUCUCCCUUCUACAGGCCUUUCACCUCCUUGGUUAAAUUAAUUCCUAGGUAUUUUUUUGUAGCUACUGUAAAUGGGACUGCCUUCUUUCUCAGCUAGUUCAUUUUUGGUGCAUAGAAACCCUAUUUUUGUAUGUUCAUUUUCUAUCCUGCAACAUUACCAAAUUUGCUUAUCAGCUUUAAGUGUGUAUUUUGCUUUGCUUGUAGAGUCUUCUGGUUUCUCUAAAUGUAAGACGAUGUCAUCUGCAAACGGGGACAAUUUGACUUCCUCUUAAAAAUCUGUAUGCCUUUUAUUCCUUUCUCUUGCCUGAUUGCUCUGGCUCUACCUCCAGUACUAUACUGAAUAAAAGUGGUAAAAGUGAGCAUCCUUCCUUGUCUUGCUCUAGUUCUUAGAGGAAAUACUUUCAGUUUUUCCCCACUCAGUAUGAUGUUAGCUGUGGGUCAUAUAUAGCCUUUAUUAUGUUAAGAUAUGUUUCUUCUGUACCUGGUUUGUUGACAGCUUUUUAUCAUAAAAGGAUGUAGAAUUUUAUCAAAUGUUUUUUCUGCAUCUGUUGAGAUAAUCAUAUGGUUUUUGUCAUUCCUUCUACUGUUGUGAUGUAUCAUGUUUAUUGAUUUGUGUAUGUUAAACCAUCCUUGUGUCCUUGGUAUAAAUUAUACUUGGUCAUGGUGUAUUAUCUUUUUGGCAUCCUGUCGAAUUGUUUGCUAGCUUUUUGUUUUGUUCUUUUUGAGAAUUUUUAUGUCUAGGUUCCUUAGAAACACUGGCCUGUAGUUCUCUUUUUGUGUGUGUGUCCUUGUCUAGUUUGGUGUCAGGGAAAUGGUGGUCUUGUAGAAUGAGUUGUUUUUUCUUUGAUUUUUUUGCAAGAGUUUGAGGAGAAUGGGUAUUAGUUCUUCUUUAUGUGGUUGGUCAAAUUGGCAGUGAAUUCAUUCAGUCAUGAGCUUUUCUUUUUUUGGGAGGGUUCUCAUUACUGAGUUAAUCACACUGCUCAUUACUGAUCUGUUCAGAUUUUCUAUUUCUUCUGGAAUCUCAGUAGUUGUAUGUUUCCAGCAAUUUAUCCAUUUCCUCUAGGUUUUCUAGUUUGGUAGUAUAUAGCUAUUCAUAAUAGUCUCUGAUGAUCUUUUGUAUUUCUGUGAUAUCAGUUGUAAUGUCUUUUUCAUUUCCUAUUUUAUUUGGGUCUUUUCUUGUUUAGUCUAGCAAGGGGUUUAUCUAUUUUAUCUUUUUGAAGAACCAACUUUUUGUUUCAUUGACCCUUUCUACGUCUUUAGUCUUUAUUUCAUUUAGAUUUGCUCUGAACUUUACUAUGUCUUUCCUUCUAAUUUUGGGUUUGGUUUGUUCUUUUCUAGUUCCUUGAGGUGCAUCAUUGAAUUGUUUCUUUGAUAUCUAUCUACUCAUUUGAUGUAGGUGUUUAUUGCUAUACACUCUCCCCUCCUAGAGCUCCUUUUGUUGUGUCCCAUAGGUCUUGGUAUGUUGUUUCUAUUUUCAUUUGUUUCAAACAUUUUAUUUCCAUAUUAAUUUUUAUCAUUCAGGAGGAGCAUAUUAUUUAAUUCCCAUGUAUUUGUAUAGUUUCCAAAGUUCCUCUUAUUUCUAUUUUUACUCCAUUGUGGUCUGAGAAGAUACUUCAUAUGAUUUCAAUUUUUAAAAAUUUGUCAAGACUUGUUUUUUGUCCUAACAUAUGGUCUAUCCUGGAGAAUGUUCCAUGUGCUGAUGAGAAAAAUGUGUACUCAGCAGUUGUUGAGUAACAUGUUCUACAAAUAUCUGUUAGAUCCAUUUGGUCUAAAGUCUAGUUUAAAUCCAAUGAGUUUUUGUUAAUUUUGUCUAGAUGAUCAUGAUCUGAGACUGAGGUGAAGUCCCCAACAAUUAUCGUGUUGGAGUCUACCUCUCUUUUUAAAUCUAGAAAUAUUUGCUUUAUAAAUCCGGGUGGUCUAGUGUUGGGUGCAUAUAUUUAGUUGUUAUUUCCUCAUUAGAUUGAUCUCUUUACUAUUAUAUAAUAACUGUUUACUGCUUCUGGCAUAAAGUCUGUUUUAUGUAAGUACAGCCAUUCCUGCUUGAGUUUAGUACCAUGUUGACAAAGGGAUGCAUAGAGAGUUGGUAAAGCAUGAUUUCUGGGUGUCUGUGUGAAGGUGUUUUGAGAAGAGUUUAGCAUGAGUCUGUGGAGUGAGUGGGAAGAUUCUCCCUCAAUGUCAGCAGGAACCAUCCAUCCACUGGGGGCCCAGGUAGAAAAAGAUGAAGAAAUGGUGAAUUCUCUCUCUCUCCUGGAGCUGGGUCACCCUUCUUCUGCCCUUGAACAGGACAUCACAACUCCAGGCUCUCCAGCCUUUGGACUCCAAGACUGACACCAGUGCCCCUCCCCAAUUACCCCAGGCCCUCAGGCCUUUGGCCUAGGAUUGAGACUUACACCAUCAGCUUCCCUGGUUCUGAGGCUUCUGGACUUGCACUGGGCCAUACUACCAGCAUCCCAGGGUCUCCAGCUUGCAGAGAGCCUGUUGUGGGACUUUUCAGCCUCCAUAAUCAACUACUCUCCUUUGAAUGGGAAACCUACCCAGGCCUGAUGUCUGCUCCGGCUAGACUCGAACUCCUGGGCUCAAGCGAUCCUCCUGCCCCAGCAUCCCAGGUAGCUGGGACUACGGAUAAGCACCGCUGUGCCUGGCUUGGUAUCUGGCCCUAACGUGGCUCUGCUGCACUGACAGCCAACCUCCUGCACCUGCUGCCUGCUUCUUAUCACAAGAAGAGGUUUACUCCUGGACAGUCUGAAGCAAUUAUGAUUCUUUCCUUACCAAAAUUAUUAAAAACUACAAUGCCCAGAGUUAUCUGCUUCUAGGGUUCUCCCAGGAUUACUGCCGAUGCAAAACUUGUCCCCCAACUACUUCCACUCUUAGCCAUUUGACACUGCCAAGCUCUGUGGUUCUCAAGUUAGCAAGAGGAAGUACAAGAAGGAAUGAAGACUGACAGCUCCAGCUGCCCCCAGAGCAGCUCCCCACUCCUUUCUUACCACAUCACCGUCAGCAUCUUUGAGGUGGGGCACACAAAGGUGUGUCAACAUGGAAAUACCACCUUACAGUUCUUCAAAAGCAUUCUUAUAUCAUUAUUCUCACAAUUCAGCAAAGCAAGCAGAGAAUUUCCUUCAUUAAGCAGAUGAAAACCUGGACCCCAAGGGAAGUAGAUAACCACCCAGGGAGUACUGUCACCAGUAUUAUCUGUAGUUUACAGCUGAGAAAACUGUUGCUCAGGAAGCUUCAAGGCAUCUGCCCAAAGUCACCUGGCCUGUAAGGGCUGGCCUGGGAUUGAACAUAGUCUGCUUUUCCAAGAUCACUCUUCCUUACUUACCACACUGACCCUCAGCACAAGAAGAGGAUUAGCUCCAGCUAGGACCAGAUUCCAGGUCAUAUGAUGUUACCUCAGGGCUCUGCAGGCACAUUUCUGAAUGAAUGAAAACUUUUUUUGCAACAAGGGAAAUGCUUAGAUUUCUGCCUUCGGGAUAUAUUCAUAAGCAUACUAUGCACAAGACUUCCAAUUCUUGAUUAUGUAAAGGAAACCAAGUUUACUCAAGAAGGAGUUAGAACACAGUAUCUCCUUACCAUACUUCUAAUCAUUACCAAAAACAG